ACAUCUGUGAGUACUUUGAGCAAGACUCCAUAGGACUCACUUUGUAAACUCUAAAUCUAAAGUUACAUCACAUUUUUCAGACUGUGUAUCACUUUUGUCUUUUUAGAUGUCUGAAAUCUUUAAAAAUAUACCUUCACAUGAGAAGUUUAAUUUUCACAUAUGUCCAGUCUCAGAAAGACCCUCAGAAUAAGGAAGGUUAAAGAAGGAUCUAAGAGGAUUCUGAGCUCUGACCUCCCUCCUUGUCAUGUUGCCUGAGGAGAAUUGCAGACAGACCCUCAGACCUCAAAUAUUCUAAAUUUUGAAGACCCAGCUUUGGCUGAGAGGAGGCCAGCAUUGGAGUACAAGAGAAAUACAUCAUUUCCAUGGAGAAAUGAAGGAACUCUCUGAAGCCUGGAAACCCCUGGGAGGGGAGCACAUGUAUUAUUCUAGAUCAGAACUAAACAUUCCAACAUGGAGGAUGACCUCAUGUGGCCUCCCUGUCGAGAGACAUGCAACCUAGGUAUUAAGUAAGACAUUGUUGAUGGUAAGUACACACUGCUUGACAUUGAUUUCUUCCUUGCUGCAAGGAGGUGGACCCAAGGUGAAUUCAAAAUGGAACACAGGAAAUAAGAAGUAAAUAUAGUGAAAGGCAAGAAUUUGAUUUUAUGAAACUCAUCACUAAAUGAUGAAACUGAUUACUCAACAUGUGUUAUUACUAGAGCUUUUUAGUAGAGAUAUGAUACUAUCGGUGUGAGCCAAUAUAAAAUUGCAUUGUAAUAAAGAGCACUGGAUCUGAAAUGAGACUAGUUACUAUCUCAGUGUUUGUUUGAAUAUCUUUAAGAUAGGGGUAAAAACCGAAUAUGAAGUAAGGUACAUGAGAAAAAAUUGUCAUGAUAUUUAGGAGUUUUAUUAAUAAUUAUAUAAACAUUAAUGUUUCUGGGUAAGUUUCACAAAAGAGAAAAUCUUGUAAGAAGCUAAAAGGGGUAAGGAAACCUUUCCUAUAAAGGAACAAGGAUGAGAACUAUAGCAAAAUUUCAUCAGAAAUCAUGCAAGCGAGAAGAAAUUAAAGUUAAAUAUUUGAAUUGUUAAAAAAAAAACCCACCAACCUAAACUUCUGUAUCCAGUAAAAUUAACCUCCCAAAGUGAAAAAGAAAGAACUUUCUCAGACAAACAAAAACUGAGGUAAUCUAUUUUCAGUAGACUUCCACUACAACAUGUUAAAAGACUUUCUGCAGGAGAAGGAAAGUGGUAUAAUAUAGAAUCUCAAAUUUACGUAAACAAAGGAAGAAAAUCACAGUAGUCCAUAAAACAAAUCUUAAUAAAUUUAAGACAAUAGGGAUUAUAUCAAAUAUCUUUUCUGAGCAAAAUGGUAUAAAUCUAGAAAUCAACAACCAAAAAAUAAAAAUAAAUAAAUAAAUAAACCCCUCAGAAACUUUACAAAUACAUGGAAAUUGAACAACAUGGGUCUAUGCAACCAAUGGGUCAAUAAAAAUGUUAAAAGAAAGAUUAAAAUUUCUACUGAGACAAGAAUGGAAGCAGAUCAUAUCAAAACCUAUGGGACACAGCAAAAGCAGUUCUAAUACGGAAGUUUAUAGCAAAAACAUCUAUAUCAGAAAAAAAUAAAGACUUCUAAUAAACAACCUACCAAUGCACCUCAAGGAACUAGAAAAACAAGAA
Molecule: non-coding RNA, 1656 nt
Organism: Chlorocebus sabaeus (green monkey)
Lineage: Eukaryota; Metazoa; Chordata; Mammalia; Primates; Cercopithecidae
Source: RefSeq, a predicted model, not a curated record